GGCUGGUCUGAUGGAAGUGAGUUAGCUGGUCUGAUGGAAGUGAGUUAUCUUAACUGAUUGUUCACAGUUAGUUAGACAGAACUCCUUGUUCUCCUCUUCCCCUUUCCUGCUACUGCCCUUGACUAGUCUUUU
Unclassified non-coding RNA from Carlito syrichta (Philippine tarsier), 132 nucleotides. It matches the Rfam family "Y RNA". Rfam says of the family: Y RNAs are components of the Ro ribonucleoprotein particle (Ro RNP), in association with Ro60 and La proteins. The Y RNAs and Ro60 and La proteins are well conserved, but the function of the Ro RNP is not known. Lineage: Eukaryota; Metazoa; Chordata; Mammalia; Primates; Tarsiidae. The record is from Ensembl.